AUACGUAGGUGACAAGCGUUAUCCGGAUUUACUGGGCGUAAAGGGCGUGUAGGCGGUCUUGCAAGUCAGAAGUGAAAUUCCUGAGCUCAACUCGGGCGCUGCUUCUGAAACUGCAGGACUUGAGUGCUGGAGGGGAUAGCGGAAUUCCUAGUGGAGCGGUAAAAUGCGCAGAUAUUAGGAAGAACACCGGUGGCGAAGGCGGCUAUCUGGACAGUAACUGACGCUGAGGCGCGAAAGCGUGGGGAGCAAACAGGAUUAGAUACCCUGGUAGUCCACGCGGUAAACGAUGAAUGCUAGGUGUUGCGGGUAUCGACCCCUGCAGUGCCGGAGUCAACACAAUAAGCAUUCCGCCUGGGGAGUACGGCCGCAAGAUUGAAACUCAAAGGAAUUGACGGGG
RNAcentral lists this ribosomal RNA (397 nucleotides) under uncultured bacterium. Its description in RNAcentral is "partial 16S ribosomal RNA". It matches the Rfam family "Bacterial small subunit ribosomal RNA", at positions 523 to 918 of the family's 1533-position model. The record is from RNAcentral.